UUUCACCAGAAGUAGCUAGCCCAACCUUCGGGGAGGCGGUUACCACGGUGAGAUUUAUGACUGGGGUGAAGUCGUAACAAGGUAACCGUA
Molecule: ribosomal RNA, 90 nt
Filed under: uncultured Gammaproteobacteria bacterium
Lineage: Bacteria; Pseudomonadati; Pseudomonadota; Gammaproteobacteria
Description: partial 16S ribosomal RNA
Rfam family: Bacterial small subunit ribosomal RNA
Source: RNAcentral